UACGUAGGUGGCAAGCGUUAUCCGGAAUUAUUGGGCGUAAAGGGUGCGCAGGCGGUUUAUUAAGUUUAGGGUGAAAGCGUUGGGCUCAACCCAAUACAGCCUUAAAAACUGAUAAACUAGAGUGCAGAAGAGGGUAGUGGAAUUCCAUGUGUAGCGGUAAAAUGCGUAGAUAUAUGGAGGAACACCAGUGGCGAAGGCGGCUACCUGGUCUGUAACUGACGCUCAGGCACGAAAGCGUGGGGAGCAAAUAGG
RNAcentral lists this ribosomal RNA (252 nucleotides) under uncultured bacterium. RNAcentral's name for it is "partial 16S ribosomal RNA". It matches the Rfam family "Bacterial small subunit ribosomal RNA", at positions 524 to 776 of the family's 1533-position model. The record is from RNAcentral.